GACGAACGCUAGCGGCGUGCUUAACACAUGCAAGUCGAGCGGUAAGGCCCUUCGGGGUACACGAGCGGCGAACGGGUGAGUAACACGUGGGUGAUCUGCCUUGCACUCUGGGAUAAGCCUGGGAAACUGGGUCUAAUACCGGAUAUGAGCUUGGAUUGCAUGGUUUGGGGUGGAAAGGUUUACUGGUGCGAGAUGGGCCCGCGGCCUAUCAGCUUGUUGGUGGGGUAACGGCCUACCAAGGCGACGACGGGUAGCCGACCUGAGAGGGUGACCGGCCACACUGGGACUGAGACACGGCCCAGACUCCUACGGGAGGCAGCAGUGGGGAAUAUUGCACAAUGGGCGAAAGCCUGAUGCAGCGACGCCGCGUGAGGGAUGACGGCCUUCGGGUUGUAAACCUCUUCUGACAGGGACGAAGCGCAAGUGACGGUACCUGUAGAAGAAGCACCGGCCAACUACGUG
Molecule: ribosomal RNA, 462 nt
Filed under: Nocardia niigatensis
Lineage: Bacteria; Bacillati; Actinomycetota; Actinomycetes; Mycobacteriales; Nocardiaceae
Description: bacterial SSU rRNA
Rfam family: Bacterial small subunit ribosomal RNA
Source: RNAcentral